RNAcentral lists this unclassified non-coding RNA (332 nucleotides) under soil metagenome. RNAcentral's name for it is "partial contains 5.8S ribosomal RNA, internal transcribed spacer 2, and large subunit ribosomal RNA". The stretch from base 1 to 120 matches the Rfam family "5.8S ribosomal RNA", at positions 35 to 154 of the family's 154-position model. The record is from RNAcentral.
GAUGAAGAACGCAGCGAAAUGCGAUAAUUAAUGUGAAUUGCAGAAUUUAGUGAAUCAUCGAAUCUUUGAACGCACAUUGCGCCCUUUGGUAUUCCUUAGGGCAUGCCUGUUCGAGCGUCAUUUAAACCUUCAAGCUAAGCUUGGUGUUGGGUGACUGUCCGCUUCACGGCGGACUCGCCUCAAAAUUAUUGGCGGCCGGUACAUUGGCUUCGAGCGCAGCAGAAACGCGAACUCGGGCCCGUCGUAUUGGCUCCCAGAAGCUAUCUUCACAAUUUUGACCUCGGAUCAGGUAGGGAUACCCGCUGAACUUAAGCAUAUCAAUAAGCGGAGGA